Molecule: ribosomal RNA, 544 nt
Filed under: uncultured bacterium
Lineage: Bacteria
Description: bacterial SSU rRNA
Rfam family: Bacterial small subunit ribosomal RNA
Source: RNAcentral
GAGCCGGAGGUAUUUAGCAAUAAAUACUUCAGCGGCGGACGGGUGAGUAACGCGUGAGCAAUCUGGCCAUAUCAGGGGGAUAACAUUGAGAAAUCAGUGCUAAUACCGCAUAAGACCACGAGAUCGCAUGGUUUCGAGGUAAAAGGCGCAAGCCGGAUAAGGAUGAGCUCGCGUCCCAUUAGCUAGUUGGUGAGGUAACGGCCCACCAAGGCUACGAUGGGUAGCCGGACUGAGAGGUUGAACGGCCACACUGGGACUGAGACACGGCCCAGACUCCUACGGGAGGCAGCAGUGGGGAAUAUUGGGCAAUGGGCGAAAGCCUGACCCAGCAACGCCGCGUGAGUGAAGAAGGUCUUCGGAUUGUAAAACUCUGUCUCGAGGGACGAAAAAAAUGACGGUACCUUGAGAGGAAGCCCCGGCUAACUACGUGCCAGCAGCCGCGGUAAUACGUAGGGGGCGAGCGUUGUCCGGAAUUACUGGGCGUAAAGGGCGUGUAGGCGGCCUGCUAAGUCGCAUGUGAAAUCCACGGGCUCAACUUGUGGUG